UGCCUCAGUAACGGCGAGUGAAGCGGCAAAAGCUCAAAUUUGAAAUCCCCCGGGAAUUGUAAUUUGAAGAGAUUUGGGUCCGGCCGGCAGGGGUUAAGUCCACUGGAAAGUGGCGCCACAGAGGGUGACAGCCCCGUGAACCCCCUCAACGCCCUCAUCCCAGAUCUCCAAGAGUCGAGUUGUUUGGGAAUGCAGCUCUAAGUGGGUGGUAAAUUCCAUCUAAAGCUAAAUACCGGCGAGAGACCGAUAGCGAACAAGUACAGUGAUGGAAAGAUGAAAAGCACUUUGAAAAGAGAGUGAAAAAGUACGUGAAAUUGUUGAAAGGGAAGGGCUUGCAAGCAGACACUUAACUGGGCCAGCAUCGGGGCGGCGGGGAGCAAAACCACCGGGGAAUGUACCUUUCGAGGAUUAUAACCCCGGCCCUUACUCCCAUACUGCCCCGAGGCCUGCAAUCUAAGGAUGCUGGCGUAAUGGUUGCAAGUCGCCCGUCUUGAAACACGGACCAAGGAGUCUAACAAUCAUGCAAGUGUUUGGGCCCAAAACCCAUACGCGCAAUGAAAGUAACCGGAGCGAACCU
Molecule: ribosomal RNA, 577 nt
Filed under: Saccharomyces cerevisiae (brewer's yeast)
Lineage: Eukaryota; Fungi; Ascomycota; Saccharomycetes; Saccharomycetales; Saccharomycetaceae
Description: partial large subunit ribosomal RNA
Rfam family: Eukaryotic large subunit ribosomal RNA
Source: RNAcentral